Paramuricea clavata is the source of this 270-nucleotide non-coding RNA. The record is from the annotation of a GenBank genome assembly. NCBI's taxonomy places the organism in Eukaryota, Metazoa, Cnidaria, Anthozoa, Malacalcyonacea, Plexauridae.
GUAAAACCUUCCAUUCUUUGAAUCUUCUCGUCGCUUUUAUCCGCCAUAACUGCCAAGAUGUAUUUAGAAAUUGGCAGAUUAUGUGCCAUAUUUUUUAAGAAAUUUGAUCCAACCGAGUAAUCGACACUAUAAGCCAAGUAAUCGACACGUUAUUCAGCAGGCCCUACAGCGCAAACCUUCGUCUCAAAUUUCAAAUUUCAACCUGCGAACGGGCAUACGCAUUACGGGCUUUAUGGCCUGCGGAGGAGGUAGCUAUAGAGACAAGAAAGU